RNAcentral lists this ribosomal RNA (405 nucleotides) under Hippocampus fuscus (sea pony). RNAcentral's name for it is "partial 16S ribosomal RNA". It matches the Rfam family "Bacterial large subunit ribosomal RNA", at positions 1922 to 2479 of the family's 2925-position model. The record is from RNAcentral. Lineage: Eukaryota; Metazoa; Chordata; Actinopteri; Syngnathiformes; Syngnathidae.
GUUUAACGGCCGCGGUAUUUUGACCGUGCAAAGGUAGCGCAAUCACUUGUCUUUUAAAUAAAGACCUGUAUGAAUGGCAUAACGAGGGCUAAACUGUCUCCUCACCCCAGUUAAUGAAAUUGAUCUUCCCGUGCAGAAGCGGGAAUUAACACAUAAGACGAGAAGACCCUGUGGAGCUUCAGACAAUAGAUGAAUUUAUUAAACAAUUAACACCAUAUAAAAGGUAAUUAAAACAAUAACCUCAUCCUAAGUCUUUAGUUGGGGCGACCGCGGAGCAAAACAAAACCUCCGUGAGGAAUGAGGUAAAAACCUUAUACCCAAGAAUGUCAUUUCUAAGUACCAAAAUAUUUGACCCAUAGAUCCGGCAACAGCCGAUCAACGAACCUNGUUACCCCAGGGAUAACA